UGGGGAAUCUUGCACAAUGGGGGAAACCCUGAUGCAGCGACGCCGCGUGAGCGAUGAAGCCCUUCGGGGUGUAAAGCUCUUUCGGCAGGGAAGAUUAUGACGGUACCUGCAGAAGCAGCUGCGGCUAACUACGUGCCAGCAGCCGCGGUAAUACGUAGGCAGCGAGCGUUGUUCGGAGUUACUGGGCGUAAAGGGUGUGUAGGCGGUUGUUUAAGUUUGGUGUGAAAUCUCCCGGCUCAACUGGGAGGGUGCGCCGAAUACUGAAUGACUAGAGUGCGGGAGAGGUGAGUGGAAUUCCUGGUGUAGCGGUGAAAUGCGUAGAUAUCAGGAGGAACACCGGUGGUGUAGACGGCUCACUGGACCGUAACUGACGCUGAGACACGAAAGCGUGGGUAGCAAACA
Molecule: ribosomal RNA, 402 nt
Filed under: uncultured Candidatus Solibacter sp.
Lineage: Bacteria; Pseudomonadati; Acidobacteriota; Terriglobia; Bryobacterales; Solibacteraceae
Description: bacterial SSU rRNA
Rfam family: Bacterial small subunit ribosomal RNA
Source: RNAcentral